UGUCCACAAUGUCCCCAACUCUGCAAAGACAGAGGAAAAGUUUUUCUUCCCUGACAAAUACAAGAGGAGCAUGGUACAUUCUUAAAUCUUAGACCCCUACUUUAAGAAGUAAACUUCUUCAUUCAGAGUCUACAUCACAGCUACUUUUUCUGAAAAGUCUGUUUCUGAUACCCAUGGAACCCGGUUAGGGCUGAUUUGUCCUGAUCAUUACUGUAAUUUCCCCUUUCUAGCUCAACCUGAGCCAUGGAACCUCCUGAGAGAUUUCUCAGGUGCUCACUGAUCAUUUGUCUGAACUGGCAAACUAUCCUUUCUCCCAAGAUUUUCAUCUCCUGGUUCUGUCUCCUACCUACUAUACUCACCAUGCCCUUCCCUCUCCCUCAACUUGCAUAUCUGUAAAAAGAAGGAUCUGGAAUCAAUGCUUUCUAAAACUUCUUCCCAUGCCAACAGGUUACGACCCCACAAUCUUACCACACAAAUUUUAUGCUAAGUCAUUCUAGCAUAUUAAACUAGAAGGAUGACAAUUCUUCAGCAAAUCUGUGCUCCAUUAUUCAGUUACAUCACUGUAACCCUCAAACAGAUUAAAUGGUAUAGUAAUACUUCUUCUAACGAUUUUCUGAGUUACCAGAACCAUCUAGAGAAAUCAUCCUACAACCAGCCUUAACAAUUUCCUUUUUGCUGUUGCCCUCAUUAUUUUUUACAAGUCCUUCUUCUGAAAAUGGAGGAGGAAGAAGAUGUUGGCUUUCUCAUUUUUAAAUAAGUUAUAUUUAAAACCCUCAAUCACUUUGUCAAAAAAGGGCUUUCUUGAAUAUUGCUUCUUGCAGAUGCACUUAAAAAGCCACAUAAAAAAGCACAUAAAGAAAGAAAAUUGGUAUCAUUUUGUAUUUGUUUUUAAAACAGAGGAAAAUAAUUAUUCCUAUUCAGUUGCUCAACGCAAUGCAUCAUUCUUAAUUUUUCAUUGUUUCUUCUCUGACAUAACACAGCAAAAUAUUUUAGAUUUUUUUUCCUCUCUCUGCCUAAUAGUUUCAUAAGCUCUAUUUGUUUCUGAAGCAUAAUGACUCACCUUAGGUUGGUGCUUGCUGAAUCCUUUCUCUCUGAAAUGGAGCAUUAUACCACAAUCACCUCAGCCCAAACCUUUAAGACAAAAGAGGGACUUUAAUGAAACAGAAAUAAUCGUGACUCCCCAUUUUUCCAGAAGUGAGGUCUCAUAUCUCACCAUGUUUGAAUGAAGCAAUAAGUUAGAUGUCAAGAGCAAUUACAGCCUUGAAGGUCAAAGCUUGCUUAAUUAAAAAAUUGGAAGGUCCUCUCCUUGUUCAAGUCUUUUGAAAGCACUGGAGACCUUUAACAUCUACCUGGGGAGUCAAAGGAAAUGAAGUCAUGGUCAAACAGGCUAAUACUGUGCCUUGGAAUUCAGACUCAUGCUCCCUCCUGCACUGGCCUCUGCAAAAGCCCAUAAAUUUGAUACAUAAAUUGAAUGGAUGGCAUUAUGACCCAAGGCAGCAAAAAGGUAAUGUGCUGAAAGUGCUAUUAAAUGGCAGAGAAUUUCUGCCAGGUUUUGGGGUUUAGCUGGUGGGAAGCGAAUGUUAAAAAUGUUAAAUUUUUGAUAGGUCCGCUUUCCCAGUACAUUUUCAUUGUUUCAGGCUUGGUCCUAGAAGCACCUUCAUUAGAAUCUUCUUAGGAGGAUGGACGCAGACUCCACAGGCCUCCUCCAAAUCAAUGAAUCUGGAAAUGGGACACUGGAAUCUGCAUUCUAUUAAGUUUCCUUAAGCAAUUCUUAAAUACAAUAAAAUUUGAGAAAGUACAGAUCUAGUUUAUUUUUCUCAUUUUAGCAAUGAGAGGAAACUACUCUGCUGACCACAUUUGGAGUCAGAAUUACAAUCUGUAGCUUCUCAUUCCAUAUUUAUAUCCUUUUCCACAAACCAAUCAGACUAUCUAGGUGAAUCUAUACGCCAAGUUUUUUCAUUUAGGUUAAUAUGUUUUCAGGAGUAUCCUCACCCCAAAGAAUAUUGUUUGUCACAAUGACUAAUACUAUUCCCAUAUUCAAUGUUUAAAAUGUAUCAACCAUAUUCUUACAUCAUAAUCCUCAGUGCUACUCCUCCAAACCCAUUCUUAUUUAUUUUCUGUCUUCUUGCGAUUGCAUUUUUAUCAACAGUUUCUGCUUCUUUGAACUUUAACAGUCUGAAAUAUUCGUGAAUUGAGAGACAUUCCAACAAUCAUGGUAUUUUUAUAAUUGCAACCCCUAUUGUCCAAAUAACACAAGGACCAAGAUAUAAGCAGUCUUAUAAAUUCAUGCCACAUCAACUUGCAGAAAGAAUCAAGACCUAAGAGUUGCAAAGUUUGGUUUCUAUUCUUUCUCAGUCACUAACUCACGUUAUGCAGGGCAUUUCCCUUCUGAGCCCCUAUUUCCUCUCUGGAGAAAGAAGGCAUAAUUCUUAAAAAUAGGUAUCUUUGCAGUUAUUUUAUUCUCAAAUGGAAAGCAGAAAAACCAGGACCCUAUGCUGUCAUUAACUCACAUUGUUCUUCAGGAGUGUGAAUAAUCAGGAAAUGCAAAUAUCUCUAAUUAUGUCAAGCUGCCAAAGGAACAACUGUCAAUGCAUUCUAUUAUUUGGCUGGAGAGGAGCUCCAGGAAUUGUAGAGUUCCCUGUGGUUAGAGGGGAAGAAAUGAAUGAGCUCCUGUAGGAGGUGUUAAUGAGGCCCCAGCAUCUGUGUGGGAGGGCAGAAGAGACUACUGGGAGAAAAUAUCUCCAGAGGAUGUGGUCCACGCUGUGCUCUUUCUACAAAAGGCUAAGGAAGUGAGGGAAGAACAGGAUCCUCAUAGAAGCAGAGUAGGAAUUUGAUUUGCAGUGCAGGAAAUUCAGCUUAGAACAUGCUGUGGCUAAACAGUUCAACCUAAUUAAAGCAUUCCCAAGUGACUCAGGAAGACAUGCAUGUGUGAGGUUGAUUUCUCCUCAAUAAUUCCACAGUGUUUGUUUUUUUUUAAAGUAGUGGAAAUGUGCCCAGGGUGCCUAGUUACCAAUGGCACCUCUGGACACAACAAGAAAAUCUGAAGACCUGCAGACAAGAAAGCUGGAUUUGAAUUUCACUUGUCACAUUUUUAUACAGUUUUUACAGUGUCCUUGUAUCCAUGGCUUGAUGCUUCUAGGAGUCCCUUUCUAAUAGAACUGGGAUUAAUACUGUCUUCUCUUCCUCUCUCAAGUGACAGAAAAGGAAUAAUGAGAUGGUAUGUCAGAGUCAUAUUAGACUUUAUUAUCCAAAUGUAAGGUAGAGACUAAGAAACAGAUUCUGGAGAUCGAUUAGAUUUUAAUCACUGCCUUUUCAUUUCUUAAAUGGGUGACCUUGUGUGAUUCAUUUGAAAUUUCCAAUUCUCUCUUACACUGAGAAUCAGGGAGAAAAUUACUACCUACUUUAUAUGCUUACACAGAAGACUAAAUGAGUCGAGCUAUACUGUCUGCUUUAGGCUGUGUCUGAACAGAUGCUAGCCAUCAUCAUCACCCUCAUCACCGUCCUCAUCUCCAUCACUGUCAUCAUCGGCACAUCAUACCUACACUUUGCUGGAUCAUAACAAAUCUGAAGAACACAAAAGACAACACAUGCAUGCUCAUUGCUUUGUCUCAGUCAGUGGUCUUCUCUUAACAAGAAGGGGAUAGAAGAUUCGACCCCAGUUCAACCAAGAGCCAAAGAGAGCUUUCACAUAAGAGCUGACAUUGAUGAGGAGACCCAGAUGCUUCAUUCCCAGCAGUACAUUUGCGUCUUCAUUUGAUUGUUUGACAGAUUUACCAUAUGUCUAACCUUAUCAUCUUUCCAAUUCACUCCUUUAUAUGAAUUUUUUAUGUUAUUGCAUUUUUACUAUGAAGUAUAACACAAAUACAGAAGAUACUUAAAACCUAAAUGGACAUUUUAAUAUACUAAUGUAAAAUAAAGGCAUUUGUAACCAUACCUGGGGAAAGACAUAGACAUAAACAGAAUUCCAGAAUCACCUACCUCCUCUCCCGGCUAUCUGCCUAAUCUAAUCUCUUUUCUUUCCCAUAGGAAAAAACCACUAUCCUGAGGUUUAUAGAAUCCAUUUCCUUGAUUUUCUUUAUAAUUUUACUACCUAAGCAUGCAUUUGUAAACACUAUAAUUUUGUGGGUUAUUAAUAUAACAAUAUUACGGAAAUUCAUUUCACACACUAUACAAUUUGCUCAUUUAAAAUGUGCAAUUCAAUGGUUUUAAUGCAUUUACAGAGUCGUGCAACCAUCGCUAAAAUCAAUGUUAAAAUAUUUUCGUCGUGCCAAAGGAAAGUCUGUAUUCAUUGGCAGUUACUGUCUAUUUCCAAUCAAAUACCCUAGCCUUAGACAAAAUCACCUUUUUUUUUUCUAUGUACAUAUUUACCUAUUCUAAACAUGUCAUGUAAGUGGAAUCAUACAAUAUAUAGUCUUUGUGUCUGGUGUCUGACUUCUUUCACUUAGCAAAAUAUCUUCAAGAUUCAUCCAUGUUGUAGACACAUCAGUGGUUUAUUCCACUAUAUUUCUCAAUAAUAUUCAUUAGUAUUUCUAUAUAUGUAUUUUAUAAUAAUCUUGUCAAGUUAUUCAUAUAUAUAGGUACAUCAAAAACUACUAGGAUUUUGAUUGGAAUUUCACUGAAUCUAUAAAAUGGUUUGGUGGUAAUUCGUAUUUUCUGACAUAGUGAGUUUUCUAAUCCAUGCUUCUAGCAUAUCCCUCUAUUUAUUUAGCUCUCUAUUAAAUUUUCUUGAUAAUAAUCUCUAUAGUGAUUUUGCACAUCUCUUGUUAGAUUCAACCCUAGGUGCUUGAUUUUUUUCAAAACUAUUCUAAAUGGUGUCUUUUUAAAUUUGUAUAUUCAUAAUGUUUAAUGUUGACAUAUAGAUCAGUUUGUGUACAUUGAUUUUUGUAUUCAUCAAAAUUAGAUAAAAAUUAUGAUUUCUGGGAGUUCCCAUUUUGGUUCAGCAGAACCAAACCUGACUAGUAUCCAUGAGGACAUGGGUUGGAUCCCUGGCCUCACUCAAUGGGUUAAGGAUCUGGUGUUGCCAUGAGUUGUGGUGUAGGUCAAAGACAUGG
This 5051-nucleotide long non-coding RNA is filed under the name Sus scrofa (pig). RNAcentral describes it as "lncRNA (ENSSSCG00030026582.1)". The record is from RNAcentral. Lineage: Eukaryota; Metazoa; Chordata; Mammalia; Artiodactyla; Suidae.